RNAcentral lists this ribosomal RNA (426 nucleotides) under uncultured bacterium. RNAcentral describes it as "bacterial SSU rRNA". It matches the Rfam family "Bacterial small subunit ribosomal RNA", at positions 354 to 796 of the family's 1533-position model. The record is from RNAcentral.
GUGAGGAAUUUUCCGCAAUGGGCGAAAGCCUGACGGAGCAAUGCCGCGUGAAGGAUGAAGGCCUAUGGGUUGUAAACUUCUUUUCUCAGAAAAGAAUUAUGACGGUAUCUGAGGAAUAAGCAUCGGCUAACUCUGUGCCAGCAGCCGCGGUAAGACAGAGGAUGCAAGCGUUAUCCGGAAUGAUUGGGCGUAAAGCGUCUGUAGGUUGUUUAAAAAGUAUUCUGUCAAAGAUUAGGGCUUAACCCUAGAUAGGCAGAAUAAACUUUUAAGCUAGAGUUUGGUAGAGGCAGAGGGAAUUCCCGGUGGAGCGGUGAAAUGCGUAGAUAGCGGGAGGAACACCAAAGGCGAAGGCACUCUGCUGGGCCAAUACUAACACUGAGAGACGAAAGCGAGGGGAGCAAAUGGGAUUAGAUACCCCUGUAGUCC